Molecule: long non-coding RNA, 1696 nt
Organism: Crotalus tigris (Tiger rattlesnake)
Lineage: Eukaryota; Metazoa; Chordata; Lepidosauria; Squamata; Viperidae
Exons: 3
Source: RefSeq, a predicted model, not a curated record
AGGGAGAAAUAGAGACAAACGGAGAAAAAGAGGGGGAGAGAGAGAAAAGAGAAAGAGAGGGAGAAGAGGAGGGGGAGAAAAAGAAUUAGAGGGGAGAAGGGGGGGGGAAGACGGCAAUUUUAGACCAAGGCAGAUCUUUUUCACCCCGACACCUCUUAAAGUGACCCGGGGGUGGGAAAAAGGGCGCAGAGGAAUCCUGGGGGGGGGGAGAAACCACAUACCUCCGUGGCUCGUCCUGCAGAAUAGAGGCAAGGGCGAGGCGACGCCUGGCAAACCGGGCUCGCUAACCACUAGGCGCAGGUCGGCCUGGCUUCAAAAGGGGGAGGGGGACCCCGGGAGCAAGUCGGGGACACCAAGGAGCGCCCGGGGGGGGGGGCGAGAGAAAGCCACGGAAGCAUCUGCAGGCAGACUUACCGGAGGGGGGGGGAAAAAAAUCCUGCCGGGAACCUUCGCGGCGCAAAAGAGACCCGGGACAUCCUGACGCUGCGCUGGAUCGGGCCAAAAAAAAAAAAAAACCCAUACGGGGGAAGAAGAAAAAAACGGGGGGGGGAUUCCUUGGUCCGUCCGCUCCCCCCCUCCCCAAAUUCCAGGCAGGCACCCCCCCCACCCCACUCGCUUCCCCUGGCCGGAUCGGGCCGAGCUUCCUCCGGCGCUGCAUCUCCGAGGAUGGGGCGCUGCUGCUGCUGCUCCUCCCGUCGUCCAGCCGGGGGGGGGGGGCCGCCAGAGCCGGACUCCGCCCGCAUCGCGGCUCCCGCAAGCCGAGGCGAAGCGCCUCCCGCCCCGCUCCCAGCGCCCCGCGGCGGGUUUUAAGCCCCGGCGCCCCCCCCCGUCUUUCCAGCCAGCUCGAGGGGGGGAGGACGGCGUGGGGCGCCCCCCGUGCAGACCCCAUUGGGGGCUGGGCUGCCUUCAACACCCGAGGCAGCCUCGCAGAGUUCAGCCCGUCGGACGCAUCCCAGGCGGAGGUGUGGAUCGCGCGCAAGGCUGCGCCUCUUGAGGACUCGCAAAUGGAAGGGGUUGCCCGGGAAAGGGGGAGAGGACGGGAGGGGGGCUGUUCGCCAGCCGAUCGGAUCGGUCGGAUCCCUUGGCCCGGCCGCCCUCGGGAUCUGCCACCGCCUCCGCCCACUGCUCUCCGGAAACCCCAUCAUCCACGGCCCCACCAGAUCCGCCUAGAAGCGGCUUCUAGUCCGCGGCAUCGACGGCAACCUUCCCGUUUCGCAGCACCGAGCACCCGGAGCGCCGUCCGCGCCCCACCGCUUUGCUCGCGGGGUGCCCAGAGAGUCUGGGGGUCACCCCCGGGGACGAGAAGACCCCCCCCCACACCCCAGGCCUGAUCCUAGGAGCUGUGUGGAGUCCUCAUCUUACGACCACGAUGGAGCCCACACUUUCCGUCGCUAAGCGAGACACUCGUGAAGUGAGUCGGCCCACCUUUUCCUGCCAGGGUGGUUAACCGAAUCCCUGCAGUGCUUCGGGCUGUGGUCACUUUGAACGGUCACUAAAUGAACUGGUUGUAAGCCGAGGACAAUCUGUAUUCCUUCCUCCUUGUCAACGCUGCUAAUAUCGGAUGUUCUGCAUUGAUAACAGAGGGAAAUGGAGCCAUCUUUUUCCCUUUCGCUUUUAGAGUUAGAGAAAUUAGAUGAUGCUGGGGGGGGGAUGUGAACGAGAGAGUCCAGCUAGACAUAACAACACUAAACCUAGC